GGAAGGUAGUUGCUUCCUUCUGAUCACAUUGUGACGCACUCCUGUCCAUAGUGUGAGUAGCCAGUAGUCAAGCUGCGACUCAAGAAAUCUUCACCACAACAGCCAUGGUUGAUGCCGUGGUGAUGACCCUACUGUGUGCUGCUGUAGCAGGUUCCGCUACCAGCAGUAGUUGCAGCAACUGUGACGGUAACAACGUCACCUGUGUUGACGGUGUGUGUCU
Molecule: long non-coding RNA, 220 nt
Organism: Haliotis rubra (blacklip abalone)
Lineage: Eukaryota; Metazoa; Mollusca; Gastropoda; Lepetellida; Haliotidae
Exons: 3
Source: RefSeq, a predicted model, not a curated record